This 347-nucleotide ribosomal RNA is filed under the name uncultured bacterium. RNAcentral describes it as "partial 16S ribosomal RNA". It matches the Rfam family "Bacterial small subunit ribosomal RNA", at positions 338 to 682 of the family's 1533-position model. The record is from RNAcentral.
CCUACGGGUGGCAGCAGUGAGGAAUAUUGGUCAAUGGGCUUACGCCUGAACCAGCCAAGUCGCGUGAGGGAAGACUGCCCUAUGGGUUGUAAACCUCUUUUGUCAGGGAGCAACGCCGGCUACGUGUAGCCGGACGGAGAGUACCUGAAGAAAAAGCAGCGGCUAACUCCGUGCCAGCAGCCUCGGUAAUACGGAGGAUGCGAGCGUUAUCCGGAUUUAUUGGGUGUAAAGGGUGCGUAGGCGGAAUGCCAAGUCAGCGGUUAAAUCGCGGGGCUCCACCUCGCUCCGCCGUUGAAACGGGCGUUCUUGCGUGGGCGAGAGGUGUGCGGAAUGCGUGGUGUAGCGGU